GUUCACGCCCAUGGCCAGGUUGCGGUCGCAGCGGUAGGUGUCGAAGCCCUCAGACCGCAGGGUGAGCUGCACCAAAGAGACGUGGGACGAGUCCAUGCUCUGCAGGUUUACACCGCUGGAGCUAAUAUCCCAGCAGGCCUCGUUGAUGAGGUCCUUGAGUGCCUCCAACACCUUCUUGAGGAUGGAGCCCUGGACCAGGCGCGCCUCGAACAUGGUGGCGGAGUGGCAACAACGCCGCUACAGGCAGGCGGGAAGGAGGAAAGUCUAGCUGGUUUCGGCUUCAGGAGCCUCAGAGCGAGCGGGCGAACGUCGCGACGACCGGCUGAGACCUAGAAAGACAACGACCACUCUGCUACGCCUGCAACCGUUUAAUGCCGCCGCGUC
Molecule: long non-coding RNA, 384 nt
Organism: Homo sapiens (human)
Lineage: Eukaryota; Metazoa; Chordata; Mammalia; Primates; Hominidae
Gene: PCNA-AS1
Product: PCNA antisense RNA 1
Exons: 1
Source: RefSeq, marked provisional